This 535-nucleotide ribosomal RNA is filed under the name uncultured Glomus. RNAcentral describes it as "SSU rRNA". It matches the Rfam family "Eukaryotic small subunit ribosomal RNA", at positions 375 to 908 of the family's 1831-position model. Lineage: Eukaryota; Fungi; Glomeromycota; Glomeromycetes; Glomerales; Glomeraceae. The record is from RNAcentral.
GUUCGAUUCCGGAGAGGGAGCCUGAGAAACGGCUACCACUUCCAAGGAAGGCAGCAGGCGCGCAAAUUACCCAAUCCCGACACGGGGAGGUAGUGACAAUAAAUAACAAUACGGGGCUCUUUAGGGUCUCGUAAUUGGAACGAGUACAAUUUAAAUCCCUUAACGAGGAACAAUUGGAGGGCAAGUCUGGUGCCAGCAGCCGCGGUAAUUCCAGCUCCAAUAGCGUAUAUUAAAGUUGUUGCAGUUAAAAAGCUCGUAGUUGAAUUUCGGGAUUGACGCGACGGUCGUGCCUUAAGGGGCGUGAACUGUCGCCGUUGAUUUCUCACCUUCUGGAGAAGCUCGAUGUCCUUAAUUGGAUGUCUUGUGGAACCAGGACCUUUACCUUGAAAAAAUUAGAGUGUUUAAAGCAGGCAUUUUGCUCGAAUACAUUAGCAUGGAAUAAUAGAAUAGGACGGCAUGGUUCUAUUUUGUUGGUUUCUAGGAUCACCGUAAUGAUUAAUAGGGAUAGUUGGGGGCAUUAGUAUUCAAUUGUCAG